This 112-nucleotide ribosomal RNA is filed under the name Corynebacterium sp. SY003. Lineage: Bacteria; Bacillati; Actinomycetota; Actinomycetes; Mycobacteriales; Corynebacteriaceae. RNAcentral also lists the same sequence under 1 other name. The record is from RNAcentral.
UGGUUGUUGUGUCAGGGGUACACCCGGUCCCAUUUCGAACCCGGUCGUUAAGUCUGAUUGCGCUGAUGGUACUGCAUCUGGGAGGGUGUGGGAGAGUAGGUCGCUGCCAACA